GCUGAUAUUGUAUUCGGAGUAUUUGAAUUUGUUACAUAUUUAAAUAAAACAUAUUUGAAUAACAAAUUCAAUCAAUAGUAAGUAUUUAAAAUAAGCAUCUAAUUUUUUAAUGGGACUACAGAAUACAAAGGAUUGAUUACUAAACCCGUUCCAAUAGAUAUCUUGAAAAAUAAAAAAGAAUACUUAUCAAACAUCUAAAAUCUUGUAAGUUAAAAUAUAACACCUCAAACUUGGCCGAGAUAUUUUGACCAAAUUACGAAGGUUACAUUGCUCCUUCAAAUCCAAACCAAAAACCUUCUUUAAAACCUUUCGAUUUGAUAAAAGUAUUUGAUUUCGUUUCUUUUGAGUGUUUGGGAGCUUAAGUUUAUACCAUCAUGUCUUUGAAUUAGACACUUUCCGCGGAAAGACCUUUUAGAGUUAUCAUCUUUAGAAAUUUCAUUUAACUUAAUAAAAAUUUAUCAAAAAUAACCAACUAAAUAAUAUUAGCCAAAAAUCCAAAAAAAAAAAUCAAAAUAAACGUACAAAAAAACAAAUUACAGUUUAAAAAGUCCAUAAUAUCCAAAAAAAAGUUUCCUAAUGAAACCAAAUUCAAUACCAAAUCAAAACCAAAUCCAAUAUCAAAUCGAGCUUCAAGAUCACCGCCCAACUUUCUCUAAGGAUUACCUGAAAAUAGUAAAAUAAUAAAGUUAGCUAAAAGCCAAUAUGUGUGCCACGGCGCACAAACAGAAAUCACAUGCAUAAUUAAAACAUACAUAUCAGAAUUUCACAUGUGCAAAAGUAUCUAUCAGAACAAAUUAAUCCAACCCCCGUCAGCUAUCUAUCAUCUCCAUCUAACCCAUCAAAUCAUAAGGAUUGCAAUAGUCCAUCCAACCAGCACAUCGUAAUGUUGACGUAUGCCACUCAGAAAAUUUACAGUUCAAAUAGAAAUUUGUGAAAAUACGGUAAAAAAUGUAGUAAUACUGCCAAAAUAAUACUUCCUCCAAUCCAUAUCAUAUCUCACCCCAAUGCACAUAUAUUAUCAUGUUAAUAUCUCAUACAACAUAUAUUCUUAUCGAAUCGAAAAUAUGACAUAUUUCAUCAAUGUCAUUAAUUCAGAUUUUAUCACAAGCUUAUAUAGAGUUAUUACUUAAUUUCAUACUUACUAACAUACAAACAUAUAAACUUUAAAGUACUACAUGCUAUCUAAAAAUCCAAUUUCAAAACUUUAUUCUCAAUCCAAACAGAACCCACAAAAAGAUCAGAAUGGAUCCACACACCCAUAUAACCUACACAAUCUAACAAAUCAAACUGUGUCACUCACACCGAGUGACGAACUGCAAUUUCGGAUUUUUCCUUAAUUUUUGAAUUAGAAACACACAUCUAAUUGCUGUAAAAAAGUCGGCACCACAACAGCAACAAUUACUGAACACAACAUUUACAACCCAACCUAAUUAGCAACUAAAAACGAAACCGAAAGGCGGAUUCAGUGCUUAACACUUAAACCAAUCCCCAAACCGGCAUUAGAAACUUAACCCCGGGAAAUCAGCAGUAGAGCAGCGACUAAACUGCCGGCGGAUGAUUGUGCACCUCACGAACUUCUCCUAUCAAAACAACAAAACAUCCAUCUAAGCGCUACCCAACAAAAUAACGGCCACCUACUCUAAGAUCAUAUCAACAAAGGAAGUACCACAUUACAACCGGUAACAAAAAAAUAGACGUUCUUACCCGAGACGAAACCUUAAAGCCGCACUUCCACUACAAGGAAGGAAACGGAAAAACGAAGUUGAACAAGGAAUGCUACGUCGGAUUAUGGCAGGAACCAAAAUUAAGAAGAGAAAAAGAAGGGAAAUAGGGGUGUAAAGUGUAAAUAAUUGGCAGCAGAGGAAACCAAAAAUUCGGCAGUCAAAUUGGAAAGAAAAAGAAAAACAGAGGGUAUGGAGGGAGGGGGGGAGUUGGACGGCAGCUUUGGAGAUAAAAUCAAAAUAAAUAAAAUCAAAUCCGAUUUUAUUUUAAAUUCAAUCCGAUACCAUCUUAUAAGUUGCUAGGAAUUCAAUUUCCACUCAAAUACCACUGGGUAGUACAUAAAGAUUCAAACAUAAGACUAAACUACCAAACUCAUUCUUGUCAACAACGUAAUGAAAUUGAAAGAUAUGCUCUACAACUCUGGUAUGACAUAAUUUCCAAAUUAAUAUGAAAAUUCAAAACAAGAGAAUCAAAUUCAAGACCUGUUGAUAUGUGUCUGUAUGUGAUACAAGUAAGGUAUGUGAAAAAUAUAUGUACGAUUUGUGUUUUUGAUAAAUCUGAAAUCUUGAUUACGUAUGAAAGGUAUGCAUGACAUUUGUUUAUGAAAUGCAUGCGUUAGUUUAUUUAUGCAUGUUAUGUGAUUGAGGAAGUGUAUU
Molecule: long non-coding RNA, 2378 nt
Filed under: Gossypium barbadense (sea-island cotton)
Lineage: Eukaryota; Viridiplantae; Streptophyta; Magnoliopsida; Malvales; Malvaceae
Description: long non-coding RNA (GBAR_LNC013954)
Source: RNAcentral